Long non-coding RNA from Peromyscus leucopus (white-footed mouse), 475 nucleotides. RefSeq lists it as uncharacterized. The record is from RefSeq and is a predicted model, not a curated record. NCBI's taxonomy places the organism in Eukaryota, Metazoa, Chordata, Mammalia, Rodentia, Cricetidae. The transcript is spliced from 2 exons.
GAAAACCCCGGUCUGUCAGGAUUUCUCCCUUCGUGGUGUUGGAAGACAUUUCAGGGUUUUUGUGUCCCCUUUGGCAUCCUUGCACACACAAGUUUGUAGGAAUUUUCUUAGGAUCAUCCCUUCAUCCUUUCAGAUGUCUAAACAUGAAUACCUCUCAUGUCAUCAUCGAGGAUCCUGCUGUAGCUUCCCACAGAGAAGGAUCUUUAGACUUUUCCUGUGAAGUUGGGCAGGGAGAAGAUGGAGGAGCCUUAUGAAAUGAUUGUGAACAUGAGAGAGUGGGACUAUGGAACCCUGAAUGUGGGUAGUGGAUGCUGGAAAUGGAUGCUGGUGUCUUAACAGAGGACCAGACAGAAGUAACCAGUGGCUGUGUGGAAGAAGAGACCCUGAAUUUUGCCACGGUGAUGCUGAGUUUUCUGGAAAAUCUGUGCCCACAAAUUUAUUUGUGCAGUAAAAAUUGAAAUUUUUUCAUCUUUAA